AUUAAUCCUACAUGGUAUCCUACUUAACCCAACAAAGUCUACACUUACCAAAUCAUCAAGAGCAAGCUAAGUCAACAAAGGUCAAGCAACCUACCAUGGUCAACAAUUAAACAGAGGUAAAAGAUAAGAAGACAAUGUUAAAGGGGUAGUGUCACGCCCAAUAUGCGACCCUAUCCAAAAGGAACUCGAAGGUACCACCAAGGAUAGACCCGCAUAUUGAAACGCUUUUGCAAGGUGGAUAUCAUUACAUCAACAUUACAUAAUAGAUGGGGAUACAUACAUAAGGCAUACAGUGCCACACGAAUACAACAUCAUCUUACAGAAGAGCACCAUCCGACUACGGAUGAAACACAAACAGAAACUCAACGACAUCCACCCUGCUAGCCCAGGCUGCCGACCUGGAACCUAUCCCUGAUCGAAGAAGAAGCAGAAGAAGCACUCCAAAACAAGCAAACAUCGCUCUCGCCUCAUGAUCAUCGCAAAACCUGUACCUGCAACUGUUGUUGUAGUAAUCUGUGAGCCACGAGGACUCAGCAAUCCCAUUACCAUGGGUAUCAAGACUAGCAAAGCUUAAUGGGAAUGAAAGGGGGGUACAGUGGUGAGGCUACAGCAACGACUAAGCAUGAUAUGGUGGCUAACAUACACAAAUAAGAGCGAGAAGAGAGCAAACAGAAUGGUCGUGAAGCUAGCAAUGAUCAAGAAGUGAUCCUGAACUCCUACUUACGUCAAACAUAACCCAAAACCGUGUUCACUUCCCGGACUCCGCCGAAAAGAGACCAUCACGGCUACACACGCGGUUGAUGCGUUUUAAUCGGAUCUGGUGUCAAGUUAUCUACAACCGGACAUUAACAAAUUCCCAUCUGCCUAUAACCGCAGGCACGGCUUUCGAAAGAUUACCCUGCAGGGGUGUCCCAACUUAGCCCAUGAUAAGCUCUCGCGAUCAACGAAGGAUAUACCUUCUCCCAGGAAGACCCGAUCAGACUCGGAAUCCCGGUUUACAAGACAUUUCGACAAUGGUAAAACAAGACCAGCAAAGCCUCCCGCUGUGCCGACAAAUCCCGAUAGGAGCUGCACAUAUCUCGUUCUCAGGGCACACCGGAUGAGCCAGACGUCGGGUUGGCAUAGACCUUGGUUGCCCAGGGGGCGCCGGACAUCGCUCGGUUUGGACCAACACUUAGACAAGCAUUGGCCCAGGGGGGCUAAAAUAAAGAUGACCCUCGGGUUAAUUACUCCCAAGGGAAAUGUAGGUGGUGGUGAGGCAAAUGGUAAAACCAAUGUUGGGCCUUGCUGGAUGUAACGCCCCGGAUUCGAUGCGCCAGGUGUCUGCCAGUUAUUCGCCGUAGUUGCCAUAUCAUUUGCUUGCGUGUUGCAUAUUGUCAUGUCAUCAUGUGCAUUUCAUUUUGCAUACGUGUUUGUUUCAUGCAUCCGAGCUUUUUCCCUGUUGUCCGUUUUGCAAUCCGGCACUCCUAUGCCCUCCGGCGUUCCCCUUUUGUCUCUCGUUGUGAGCGGGUGUUAGACUUUCUCGGAAUGGACCGAGUCUUGCCAAGCGGCCUUAGUAUAGCACCGGUAGACCGCCUGUCAAGUUUCGUGCCAUUUGGAGGUCGUUUGAUACUCCAACGGUUAUCCGCGUAGCCCGAAACCCCCCUUUCUCCUUGCAGCCCAACACCCCUCCAAAGUGGCCCAAAACCCAGCAAACUCCCCUCCAUGCUCUCGGUCGUUCGAUCACGAUCGCAUGGACGAAAACCGCUCCUCAUUUGGACUCUCCUAGCUCCCAGAAUCUAUAUAUAUGUGCCUCCCGUCCAAAUUCGCGGAUGUUUUUCCCCCGAAAACCUAAAAAUUCCCCUCUCCGCGCCGGACGUGUCCGUCCGCGCCGGACAAAGCCCGUGCCGCUGCCUCCUCACCAACCGGCAUCCGCCGCGUGGCAGCCGCCGCNNNNNNNNNNNNNNNNNNNNNNNNNNNNNNNNNNNNNNNNNNNNNNNNNNNNNNNNNNNNNNNNNNNNNNNNNNNNNNNNNNNNNNNNNNNNNNNNNNNNNNNNNNNNNNNNNNNNNNNNNNNNNNNNNNNNNNNNNNNNNNNNNNNNNNNNNNNNNNNNNNNNNNNNNNNNNNNNNNNNNNNNNNNNNNNNNNNNNNNNNNNNNNNNNNNNNNNNNNNNNNNNNNNNNNNNNNNNNNNNNNNNNNNNNNNNNNNNNNNNNNNNNNNNNNNNNNNNNNNNNNNNNNNNNNNNNNNNNNNNNNNNNNNNNNNNNNNNNNNNNNNNNNNNNNNNNNNNNNNNNNNNNNNNNNNNNNNNNNNNNNNNNNNNNNNNNNNNNNNNNNNNNNNNNNNNNNNNNNNNNNNNNNNNNNNNNNNNNNNNNNNNNNNNNNNNNNNNNNNNNNNNNNNNNNNNNNNNNNNNNNNNNNNNNNNNNNNNNNNNNNNNNNNNNNNNNNNNGUGCCCCGCCGCCGCGCCCCGCCGGCUCCUCCGGCCCUCCUCGCCGACCGUCUCCGGCGCCCCUUCUCCGCCCCUGGCCCGAGCUCGAGGACGACCCCGUGGGGCCCGCUCGUCAGCCUCCCAUGCCGGACGUGUCCGGUUUGGCCCGGACAUGUCCACCCCCUGCGAGGUCGUUUUCCACUAAGUCCCCGAAGUAUAUGUGUGACAUUAUCAUGCCAUGUUCAUCGCAUCAUAUCUCUGCAUCCGUAGCACCGUUUUGUGCGUGUAAUAAGUAAAAUUGUUCGCCUCAAUGAGUACUUCAUUUCAUUCCAUUGCAUCAUAUUCAUUUGAGCUCAUCUUGAUGCCUGAAUCUUCGUUGCAAGAGUGCUUCAUAAUGUUGUCUGCUGUCUGUUAACAGAACUAGCUCUUUUGUCAUUUUUUCCAUGAUUGAUGUGUGCAUCCUAUGAGGUUGAUGGCUACAUGUGUUUUGAUCUAUGCUAUGUCUUCUUUACAGAGGUGCUUACCAUGUAUUUUUGUGAUCAAUGUGGUGACUAGCACAAGCAUGCAAACUAGGCCUCGUGAUGUUGCUGAUUUUAGUCCCUGUUCUGCUGUUAUUUUGAUGCCAUUUAAACUUGAUGCUACAGAGAGAUCCAUGCUUAUUUUGAGAUACUUCAGUAAGGGUGUUUUGAACAUAUGGUUUUUAUAUAUCCAUUCAUGCCUGAAAUUAUGGAGUAGUCUAGCAUGUCAUUUUCGUGCUCUACUUUUGCUACAAAAUGUUUCCUGGCAGAUUGUUUACAUGUUAUUCAAUUUUGCCAAGGUUGUUGUAGUUGAUCCUUGCAUGCCAUGAACUUGUUCUUGACUUGGUUUGUUUUAUAAACAUGCCUUCUUGAUGAUGCUAUGAUUAUAUUGUCAUGCAAUGACUUGUGGUGAGUGAAUCGAGCUUGUUAAGUAGUGUACUUGCUAUUGCUGUUUUGCUAGGCUGAAUCUGUUAUUUCGUGAUGCUAUGUAAACCUGCUGCUACAAGUCAUUCUAUGCAUAAUCUGGAGAUGUUCACUAAGGGUGUUUUGUUACAAAUGUUAUGCUCUAUCCAUACAUGUCCCUGUUUGCAAUUAUAGCUUGCUGUAGUUUGUUGUAAUCUUGCUCUAAAGUUGCUAUAUAAUGUUGCUGUCAGCCUGUUAACUUGAAGUUCAGUCGUUGCCAUGCUUUUUGUUAGUGAUACAUGUACCCUAUGACCUUGCUAUUGACAUGCUUAGCUUCAUAAAUAUGUAUUAUUACUGUUGGUAGCCUUUCCAUGCCAUGUAUUGCUCUGUGAUGAGUGGUACAAGCUCACAAACAUGCCUUCAUAAUUCUGUUUCUGUCAUGUUUGAAUCUGUAAUAUAACUUGCUAUGUUUACAUGGGUGCCAUCAUAUUUUCUGUUCCUUUUUGGCUCAUGGUCAGUAAGGGGCUUUUGUUCUAUGCAUUUAGUAGUACCAUGCCAUGCUUUUGUUUGCCAUGAUAAGUUCCUGCAACAUGUUGUUUGAUAGCUCUAAACAUUGCAGCCUGAUGUUAUUUUCUGCAAAGUCUGAACUGUUAUUAUUUGCAAUCUUGCCAUAUGUGUUUGAGCAUGUUCUAGUGAUUUCUGGAGAUAGCUCAGUGUUCAUGUUUUGUCAUGCUUUACCUGUACAUCAUGACCAUGUCUUUUUUUUCAUGUUGGGAUACUGUAGCAUAUUGUUUUGAUGCUUGCAAUAUGCCUAGUUGCUGUUUUGAACAGAUUGUUGCUAUAACUUUUAUAGUGUGUGUGUUGAACCGUUGCUCCGUUUUGAGUGUGCUGUAUAUGAAACUUGCUUGUUUUUGCAUGCAGUUCCAUAUUAUCAUGUUGCAUCCAUGCUUUUGUUUGCCAUGAUAAGUUCCUGCAACAUGUUGUUUGAUAGCUCUAAACAUUGCAGCCUGAUGUUAUUUUCUGCAAAGUCUGAACUGUUAUUAUUUGCAAUCUUGCCAUAUGUGUUUGAGCAUGUUCUAGUGAUUUCUGUGUUGGGGAACGUAGCAGAAAUUCAAAAUUUUCCUACGUGUCACCAAGAUCUAUCUAUGGAGAGACCAACAACGAGUAGAAAGAGAGUGCAUCUACAUACCCUUGUAGAUCACUAAGCGGAAGCGUUCAAGUGAACGGGGUUGAUGGAGUCGUACUCGUCGUGAUUCAAAUCACCGAUGAUCCUAGUGCCGAACGGACGGCACCUCCGCGUUCAACACACGUACAGCCCGGUGACGUCUCCCAUGCCUUGAUCCAGCAAGGAGAGAGGGAGAGGUUGAGGAAGACUCCAUCCAACAGCAGCACAACGGUGUGGUGGUGGUGGAGGAGCGUGGCAAUCCAGCAGGGCUUCGCCAAGCACCAUGGGAGAGGAGGAGUAGGAAGAGAGGUAGGGCUGUGCCAGAACUUCGUGUAUAGCUCCCAUGCGCCUCCCCACUAUAUAUAGGGGUGGAGGGGCUGGUUUCUUGCCCUCCAAGUCCAUUGGGGCGUUGGCCAAGGUGGGAGGAAAGAAAUCUCAUUAUUUCCUUCCCCACCGAUUGUUAUCCCCCCUUUUUAGGGAUCUUGAUCUUAUCCCUUCGGGAUAUGAUCUUAUUCCUUCUAAGGGGGGAUCUUGGUGCGCCUUGACCAGGGGUGUGGGGCCUUGCCCCCACUACCCACGUCCAUGUGGGUCCCCCAUGCAGGUGGGCCCCACUCCGGAACCUUCUAGAACCUUCCCGGUACAAUACCGAAAAAUCCCGAACAUUUUCCGGUGGCCAAAAUAGGACUUCCCAUAUAUAAAUCUUUACCUCCGGACCAUUCCGGAACUCCUCAUGAUGUUCGGGAUCUCAUCCGGGACUCCGAACAACAUUCGGUAACCACAUACAAACUUCCUUUAUAACCCUAGCGUCAUCGAACCUUAAGUGUGUAGACCCUACGGGUUCGGGAGACAUGUAGACAUGACCGAGACGUUCUCCGGUCAAUAACCAACAGCGGGAUCUGGAUACCCAUGAUGGCUCCCACAUGUUCCACGAUGAUCUCAUCAGAUGAACCACGAUGUCAAGGACUUAAUCAAUCCCGUAUUCAAUUCCCUUUGUCUAUCGGUAUGUUACUUGCCCGAGAUUCGAUCGUCGGUAUCCAAUACAUUGUUCAAUCUCGUUACCGGCAAGUCACUUUACUCGUUCCGUAACACAUCAUCCCGUGAUCAACUCCUUGGUCAUAUUGCGCAUAUGAUGAUGUCCUACCGAGUGGGCCCAGAGAUACCUUUGUGCUAGUCUUAGGAUUGGGUCUUGUCCAUCACAUCAUUCUCCUAAUGAUGUGAUCCCGUUAUCAACGACAUCCAAUGUCCAUAGCCAGGAAACCAUGACUAUCUGUUGAUCACAACGAGCUAGUCAAGUAGAGGCUCACUAGGGACAUAUUCUGGUCUAUGUAUUCACACGUGUAUUACGAUUUCCGGAUAAUACAGUUAUAGCAUGAAUAAAAGACAAUUAUCAUGAACAAGGAAAUAUAAUAAUAAUACUUUUAUUAUUGCCUCUAGGGCAUAUUUCCAACAGUCUCCCACUUGCACUAGAGUCAAUAAUCUAGUUCACAUCGCCAUGUGAUUAACACUCACAGGUCACAUCGCCAUGUGACUAAUACCCAAGAGUUUACUAGAGUCAGUAGUCUAGUUCACAUCACUAUGUGAUUAACACUCAAUGAGUUUUAUGUUUGAUCAUGUUGCUUGUGAGAGAGAUUUUAGUCAACGGGUCUGAACCUUUCAGAUCCGUGUGUGCUUUACAAAUCUCUAUGUCAUCUCCUAGAUGCAGCUACCACGCUUUAUUUGGAGCUAUUCCAAACAACUGUUCUACUUGGAGCUAUUCUAAAUUAUUGCUCCAUUAUAUGUAUCUGGUCUCUCUACUUAGAGCUAUCCGGAUAGGUGUCAAGCUUACAUCGUCGUAACCUUUACGACGAACUCUUUUACCACCUCCAUAAUCGAGAAAAUUCCUUAGUCCACUAGUUACUAAGGAUAACUUUGACCGCUGUCCUGUGAGCCAUUCUUGGAUCACUCCUGUACCCCUUGACUGACUCAUGGCAAGGCACACUUCAGGUGCGGUACACAGCAUAGCAUACUGAAGAGCCUACGUCUUAAGCAUAGGGGACGACCUUCGUCCUUUCUCUCUAUUCUGCCGUGGUCGAGCUUUAAGUCUUAACUUCGUACCUUACAACUCAGGCAAGAACUCCUUCUUUGACUGGUCCAUCUUGAACACCUUCAAGAUCAUGUCAAGGUAUGUGCUCAUUUGAAAGUAUUAUUAAGCAUUUUGAUCUAUCCUUAUAGAUCUUGAUGCUCAAUGUUCAAGUAGCUUAAUCCAGGCUUUCCAUUGAAAAACACAUUCAAAAUAACCCUAUAUGCUUUCCAGAAAUUCUACGUCAUUUCUGAUCAACAAUAUGUCAACAACAUAUACUCAUCAGAAAUUCUAUAGUGCUCCCACUCACUUCUUUGGAAAUACAAGUUUCUCAUAAACUUUGUACAAACCCAAAAUUUUUGAUCAUCAUCAAAGCAUACAUUCCAACUCCGAGAUGCUCACUCCAGUCCUUAGAAGGAUUGCUGGAGCUUUGCAUACUUAUUAGCAUCUUUCGGGAUUGACAAAACCUUCCGGUUGUAUCACAUACAACCUUUCCUCAUUAAAAUCGUCGAGGAAACAAUGUUUUGACAUCCUAUCUGCAAGAUUUCAUAAAUAAUGCAGUAAUCGCUAAUAUAAUUCCAACAGACUCUUAGCAUCGCUACGAGUGAGAAAAUCUCAUCGUAGUCAACUCCUUGAACUUGUCGGAAAACAUCUUAACGACAAGUCGAGCUUUCUUAAUGGUGACAUUUACCAUUAUUGUCCGUCUUCCUUUUGAAAUCCAUCUGUACUCAUUAGCCUUACGACCAUCGAGCCGUUCUGCCAAAGUCUACACUUUGUUUUCAUACAUGGAUCCUCUCUCGGAUUUUAUGGCCUCAAGCCAUUUAUCGGAAUCCGGGUCCACCAUCGCUUCUCCAUAGCUCGUAGGUUCAUUGUUGUCUAGCAACAUGACCUUCAAGACAGGAUUACGUACCACUCUGAAGUAGUACGCAUCCUUGUCAUCCUACGAGGUUUGGGAGUGACUUGAUCCGAAGUUUCAUGAUUAAUAUCAUAAGCUUCCACUUCAAUUGGUGUAGGUGCCACAGGAACAACUCCCUGUGCCCUGUCACACACUAGUUGAAGAGACGGUUCAAUAACCUCAUCAAGUCUCCACCAUCCUCCCACUCAAUUCUUUCGAGAGAAACUUUUCCUCGAGAAAGGACCCGAUUCUAGAAACAAUCCAUAUUGCUUUCGGAUCUGAAUUAGGAGGUAUACCCAACUGUUUUGGGUUUCCUAUGAAGAUGCAUUUUAUCCGCUUUGGGUUCGAGCUUAUCAACCUGAAACUUUUUCAUAUAAGCGUCGGAGCCCCAAACUUUUAAGAAACGACAACUUAGGUUUCUCUAAACCAUAAUUCAUACGGUGUCAUCUCAUCGGAAUUACGUGGUGCCCUAUUUAAAGUGAAUGUGGUUGUCUCUAAUGCCUAACCCAUGAACGAUAGUGGUAAUUCGAUAAGAGACAUCAUGGUACGCACCAUAUCCAAUAGGGUGCAACUAUGAUGUUCAGACACACCAUCACAUUAUGGUGUUCCAGGCGGUAUUAAUUGCGAAACAAUUUCCACAAUGUCUUAAUUGUGUGCCAAAACUCGUAACUCAGAUAUUCAUCUCUAUGAUCAUAUCAUAGACAUUUUAUCCUCUUGUCACAAUGAUCUGCUACUUCACUCUGAAAUUACUUGAACCAUUCAAUAAUUCAGACUUGUGUCUCAUCAAGUAAAUAUACUCAACAUUUACUCGAAUCAUCUGUGAAGUAAGAACAUAAUGAUAUUCACUGCAUGCCUCAGCACUCAUUCGACUGCACACAUCAAAAUGUGUUACUUCCAACAAGUUGCUAUCUUGUUCCAUCUUACUGAAAAUGAGGCUUUUCAGUCAUCUUGCCCAUGUGGUAUGAUUUGCAUAUCUCAAGUGAUUCAAAAUCAAGUGAGUCCGAAUGAUCCAUUUGCAUGGAGUUUCUUCAUGCAUAUACACCAAUAGACAUGGUUCGCAUGUCUCAAACUUUUCAAAAACGAGUGAGUCCAAAGAUCCAUCAACAUGGAGCUUCUUCAUGCGUUUUAUACCAUUAUGACUUACAUGGCAGUGCCACAAGUAAGUGGUACUAUCAAUACUAUCUUAUAUCUUUUGGCAUGAAAAUGUGUAUCACUACGACCGAGAUUCAAUAAACCAUUCCUUUAGGUGCAAGACCAUUGAAGGUAUUAUUCAAAAAUAGAGUAACCAUUAUUCUCCUUAAAUGAAUAACUGUAUUGCGAUAGACAUAAUCCAAUCAUGUCUAUGCUCAACGCAAACACCAAUCUCGGUGGUAGAGGGAGCGUGCGAUGCUUGAUCAUAUCAACCUUGGAAACACUUCCAACAUAUAUCGUCAGCUCACCUUUAGCUAGUCUCCGUUUAUUCCGUAGCUUUUAUUUCGAGUUACUAACACUUAGCAACCGAACCGGUAUCCAAUACCCUGGUGCUACUAGGAGUACUAGUAAAGUACACAUUAACAUAAUGUAUAUCCAAUAUACUUCUAUCGACCUUGCCAGCCUUCUCAUCUACCAAGUAUCUAGGGUAAUGCUGCUCCAGUGGUUGUUCCCCUUAUUACAGAAGCACUUAGUCUCGGGUUUGGGUUCAACCUUGGGUUUCUUCACUAGAGCAGCAACUGAAUUGCCGUUUCAUGAAGUAUCCCUUUGUUCCCUUGCCCUUCUUGAAACUAGUGGUUUCACCAACCAUCAACAAUUGAUGCUCCUUCUUGAUUUCUACUUUCGCGGUGUCAAACAUCAUGAAUAUUUCAAGGAUCAUCAUAUCUAUCCCUGAUAUGUUAUAGUUAAUCACGAAGCUCUAGCAGCUUGGUGGCAAUGACUUUGGGGAAACAUCACUAUCUCAUCUGGAGGAUCAACUCCCACUCGAUUCAAGUGAUUGUUGUGCUCAGACAAUCUGAGCACAAGAUCAACGAUUGAGCUUUUCUCCCUUGGUUUGCAGGCUAAGAAAAUCGUCGGAGGUCUUAUACCUCUUGACGUGGGCACAAGCCUGAAAUCCCAAUUUCAGCCCUCGAAACAUCUCAUAUGUUCCGCGACGUUUCGAAAACGUCUUUGGUGCCUCUACUUAAACCAUUUAAUUGAACUAUCACGUAGUUAUCAAAACGUGUAUGUCCGAUGUUCGCAACAUCGACAAACGACGUUGGGGUUCAGCACACUGAGCGGUGCAUUAAGGACAUAAGCUUUCUACUGAUCGCAUAAUCGCUACUAUCAACUUUCAACUAUAUUUUCUCUAGGAACAUAUCUAAACAGUGGAACUAAAGCGCGAGCUUACGACAUAAUUUGCAAAAGGUCUUUUGACUAUGUUCAGGAUAAUUAAGUUCAUCUUAUGAACUCCCACUUAGAUAGACAUCCCUCUGGUCAUCUAAGUGAUCACAUGAUCCGAGUCAACUAGGCCGUGUCCGAUCAUCACGUGAGACGGACUAGUCAUCAUCGGUGAACAUCUUCAUGUUGAUCGUAUCUACUAUACGACUCAUGCUCGACCUUUCAGUCUCCGUGUUCCGAGGCCAUGUCUGUACAUGCUAGGCUCGUCAAGUUAACCCUAAGUGUUUUCGCUGUGUAAAACUGUCUUACACCCGUUGUAUGUGAACGUAAGAAUCCAUCACACCCGAUCAUCACGUGGUGCUUAGAAGCGACGAACUGUAGCAACGGUGCACAGUUAGGGGAGAACACUUCUUGAAAUUGUUGUAAGGGAUCAUCUUAUUUACUACCGUCGUUCUAAGAAAACAAGAUGCAUAAACAUGAUAAACAUCACAUGCAAUCAAAUAGAGUAGUGACAUGAUAUGGCCAAUAUCAUAUAGCUCCUUUGAUCUUCAUCUUCGGGGCUCCAUGAUCAUCUUGUCACCGGCAUGACACCAUGAUCUCCAUCAUCAUGAUCUCCAUCAUCGUGUCUUCAUGAAGUUGUCACGCCAACGACUACUUUUACUUCUAUGACUAACGCGUUUAGCAAUAAAGUAAAGUAGUUUACAUGGCAUUCUUCAAUGACACGCAGGUCAUACAAUAAAUAAAGACAACUCCUAUGGCUCCUGCCGGUUGUCAUACUCAUCGACAUGCAAGUCGUGAAUCCUAUUACAAGAACAUGAUCAAUCUCAUACAUCACAUAUAUCAUUCAUCACAUCCUUUUGGCCAUAUCACAUCACAUAGCAUACCCUGCAAAAACAAGUUAGACGUCCUCUAAUUGUUGUUUGCAUGUUUUACGUGGCUGCUAUGGGUUUCUAGCAAGAACGUUUCUUACCUACGCAAAACCACAACGUGAUAUGCCAAUUGCUAUUUACCCUUCAUAAGGACCCUUUUCAUCGAAUCCGUUCCAACUAAAGUGGGAGAGACUGGCACCCGCUAGCCACCUUAUGCACCAAGUGCAUGUCAAUCGGUGGAACCUGUCUCACGUAAGAGUACGUGUAAGGUCGGUCCGGGCCGCUUCAUCCCACAAUACCAUCGAAACAAGAUUGGACUAGUAACGGUAAGCAUAUUGAACAACAUCAACGCCCACAACUACUUUGUGUUCUACUCGUGCAAAGAAUCUACGCAAUAGACCUAGCUCAUGAUGCCACUGUUGGGGAACGUAGCAGAAAUUCAAAAUUUUCCUACGUGUCACCAAGAUCUAUCUAUGGAGAGACCAGCAACGAGUAGAAAGAGAGUGCAUCUACAUACCCUUGUAGAUCGCUAAGCGGAAGCGUUCAAGUGAACGGGGUUGAUGGAGUCGUACUCGUCAUGAUUCAAAUCACCGAUGAUCCUAGUGCCGAACGGACGGCACCUCCGCGUUCAACACACGUACAACCCGGUGACGUCUCCCAUGCCUUGAUCCAGCAAGGAGAGAGGGAGAGGUUGAGGAAGACUCCAUCCAACAGCAGCACAACGACGUGGUGGUGGUGGAGGAGCGUGGCAAUCCAGCAGGGCUUCGCCAAGCACCAUGGGAGAGGAGGAGUAGGAAGAGAGGUAGGGCUGUGCCAGAACUUCGUGUAUAGCUCCCAUGCGCCUCCCCACUAUAUAUAGGGGUGGAGGGGCUGGUUUCUUGCCCUCCAAGUCCAUUGAGGCGUUGGCCAAGGUGGGAGGAAAGAAAUCUCAUUAUUUCCUUCCCCACCGAUUGUUAUCCCCCCUUUUUAGGGAUCUUGAUCUUAUCCCUUCGGGAUAUGAUCUUAUUCCUUCUAAGGGGGGAUCUUGGUGCGCCUUGACCAGGGGUGUGGGGCCUUGCUCCCACUACCCACGUCCAUGUGGGUCCCCCCAUGCAGGUGGGCCCCACUCCGGAACCUUCUAGAACCUUCCCGGUACAAUACCGAAAAAUCCCGAACAUUUUCCGGUGGCCAAAAUAGGACUUCCAUAUAUAAAUCUUUACCUCCGGACCAUUCCGGAACUCCUCGUGACGUCCGGGAUCUCAUCCGGGACUCCGAACAACAUUCGGUAACCACAUACAAACUUCCUUUAUAACCCUAGCGUCAUCGAACCUUAAGUGUGUAGACCCUACGGGUUCGGGAGACAUGUAGACAUGACCGAGACGUUCUCCGGUCAAUAACCAACAGCGGGAUCUGGAUACCCAUGAUGGCUCCCACAUGUUCCACGAUGAUCUCAUCGGAUGAACCACGAUGUCAAGGACUUAAUCAAUCCCGUAUUCAAUUCCCUUUGUCUAUCGGUAUGUUACUUGCCCGAGAUUCGAUCAUCGGUAUCCAAUACCUUGUUCAAUCUCGUUACCGGCAAGUCACUUUACUCGUUCCGUAACACAUCAUCCCGUGAUCAACUCCUUGGUCAUAUUGCGCAUAUGAUGAUGUCCUACCGAGUGGGCCCAGAGAUACCUCUCCGUUUACACGGAGUGACAAAUCCCAGUCUCGAUCCGCAUAAAACAAUAGAUACUUUCGGAGAUACCUGUAGUGCACCUUUAUAGUCACCCAGUUACGUUGUGACGUUUGAUACACCCAAAGCACUCCUACGGUAUCCAGGAGUUACACGCUCUCAUGGUCGAAGGAAGAGAUACUUGACAUUGGCAAAGCUCUAGCAAAUGAACUACACGAUCUUUUGUGCUAGUCUUAGGAUUGGGUCUUGUCCAUCACAUCAUUCUCCUAAUGAUGUGAUCCCGUUAUCAACGACAUCCAAUGUCCAUAGCCAGGAAACCAUGACUAUCUGUUGAUCACAACGAGCUAGUCAAGUAGAGGCUCACUAGGGACAUAUUGUGGUCUAUGUAUUCACACGUGUAUUACGAUUUCCGGAUAAUACAGUUAUAGCAUGAAUAAAAGACAAUUAUCAUGAACAAGGAAAUAUAAUAAUAAUACUUUUAUUAUUGCCUCUAGGGCAUAUUUCCAACAUUCUGGAGAUAGCUCAGUGUUCAUGUUUUGUCAUGCUUUACCUGUACAUCAUGCCCAUGUCUUUUUUUUCAUGUUGGGAUACUGUAGCUUAUUGUUUUGAUGCUUGCAAUAUGCCUAGUUGCUGUUUUGGACAGAUUGUUGCUAUAACUUGUAUAGAGUGUGUGUGUUGAACCGUUGCUCCGUUUUGAGUGUGCUGUAUAUGAAACUUGCUUGUUUUUGCAUGUAGUUCCAUAUUAUCAUGUUGCAUCCAGGUUUUUGGAGUGUUUGCUUGAUGUUUAUAUGCAUUUUGCAUCAAUGCCAUGUUUAACUUGUUUUGCUCAUAUCUUCUAGGCCGUAGCCCAGAACUAAAUGAACUUUAUAUGUAACUUGACUAGAAUUUCGUGUAGAUCAUCUUUGUGCAUCUUAACUUGCUGUUUAACAACUUGAACAUAAUGUUUAUUCAGAUCUGGACCAAUCUAGAAAUAUGCAUAUGAGGACUUACCGGAAUUGUUAUAUGUUGUUCCCGGCCUCAUUUAAACUUGCCUUAGUGUGUUGCUCUUGUUUGCAUCAUCUCUUGCCAUGAGUAGCUUCAUGUAGCUUUGCCAUGCAUAAUGCUUGUUUGUGCAUCAUGUCUUGUUCAUGUGUGGUGUGUUUACCAUGUUGUGUGCUUCUUUUUGAUAGUUCCCCUUUUUGUUGCGAUCGUGAGGAUUCGUUCGUCUACGCUUGGUUCGGCUUCAUCCGUUCGUCUUCUUCAUGGACUCGUUCUUCUUCCUAGCGGGAUUUCAGGCAAGAUGACCGCUACCCUGGAUCUCACUACUAUCAUUGCUAUGCUAGUUGCUUCGUUCUAUCGCUAUGAUGCGUUACCUAUCUUUUGCUCAUCAAGCCUCCCAAAUUGCCAUGAACCUCUAACCUUUGACACUAUUCCUAGCAAACCAUUGCUUGGCUAUGUUACCGCUUUGCUCAGCCCCUCUUAUAGCGUUGUUAGUUACAGGUGAAGUUGAAGAUUGCUCCAUGAUGGACAGGAUUAUGUUGGGAUAUCACAAUAUAUCUUAUAUUAUUAAUGCAUCUAUAUACUUGGUAAAGGGUGGAAGGCUCGACCUUAUGCCUGGUGUUUUGUUCCACUCUUGCCGCCCUAGUUUCCAUCAUACCGGUGUUAUGUUCCCGGAUUUUGCGUUCCUUACGCGGUCGGGUGAUUUAUGGGACCCCCUUGACAGUUCGCUUUGAAUAAAACUCCUCCAGGAAGGCCCAACAUUGGUUUUACCAUUUGCCUCACGACCACCUACUUUUCCCUUGGGAGUAAUUAAGCCAAGGGUCAUCUUUAUUACAGCCCCCCUGGGCCAAUGCUUGUCUAAGUGUUGGUCCAAACUAGAGCACCGCGCGGGACCAUCCCUUGGCAACUUGGGUUACGUCGGUACCUGUACGCUUAGCUUAUCCGGUGUUGCCCUGAGAACGAGAUAUGUGCAGCUCCUAUCGGGAUUGUCGGCGCAUCGGGCGGUCUUUGCUGGUCUUAUUUUACCAUUGUCGAAAUGUCUUGUAAACCGGGAUUCCGAGUCUGAUCGGGUCUUUUUUGGGAGAAGGUAUAUCCUUCAUUGAUCGCGAGAGCUUAUCAUGGGCUAAGUUGGGACACCCCCGCAGGGUAUAAUCUUUCGAAAGUCGUGCCUGCGGUUAUAGGAAGAUGGGAAUUUGUUAAUGUCUGGUUGUAGAUAACUUGACACCAGAUCCGAAUUAAAACGCAUCAACCAUGUGUGUAGCCAUGAUGGUCUCUUUUCGACGGAGUCCGGGAAGUGAACACGGUUUCUGGGUUAUGUUUGACGUAAGUAGGAGUUCAGGAUCACUUCUUGAUCAUUGCUAGCUUCACGACCGUUCCAUUUGCUCUCUUCUCGCUCUUAUUUGCAUAUGUUAGCCACCAUAUCAUGCUUAGUCGCUGCUGUAGCCUCACCACUUUACCCCUUCCUUUCCCUUUAAGCUUUGCUAGUCUUGAUACCCAUGGUAAUGGGAUUGUUGAGUCCUCGUGGCUCACAGAUUACUACAACAACAGUUGCUGGUACAGGUUAUGCGAUGAUCAUGACGCGAGAGCGAUGCUUGCUUGUUUGGAGUUCUUCUUCUGCUUCUUCUUCGAUCAGGGGAUAGGUUCCAGGUCGGCAGUCUGGGCUAGCAGGGUGGAUGUCGUUUGAGUUUAUGUUUGUGUUUCAUCUGUAGUCGGAUGUUGAUCUUAUGUAUGAUGUAUUGAUGUAUUCUUGUGGCAUUGUAUGCCCCUUGUAUGUAUCCCCAUCUAUUAUGUAAUGUUGAUGUAAUGAUAUCCACCUUGCAAAAGCGUCUUCAAGAUGCGCUUCUAUCCUUGGUGGGACCUUCGAGUUCCUUUAGGAUAGGGUCGCAUCUUGGGCAUGACAAGUUGUAACAGAGCCUCGACCGACCUUAGGAGCCCCCUUGAUUGAUCGUGUAGUUUGGCCGUUGUUGAGUCUAGAAAAAAAAACUGUUUUUCGGAGUCUAGUUAUAUCGGAGAGUAGGAAUUGUUUUUACUCCUCAGCCCCUUCGUCGCUCUGGUGAGAAAUCUUGACGUAGGUGUUUUGAAUUACUCCUCUUCCCCUUCAAAUUUUUCUUUAGGAUCACGCAGUUGGUUUUUCGGUAGUUGUUCCUCAGCUCUUUUCAUCCGGUGCAUUUCUCGUCAAGUCGACUCGAGCGUCUUCAUCUUUGAGUUCAAUCCUCAGUUGUUUUCUUUUCCCACCCACCCACCCCUCUUCUUUUCGGAACCGGAGUCCGUAAUCGAGUAUCCAUCCUACUCGUGUGAAGCCUUUGCUUUCUUUCAACCGGUGUUUUCUCUUCAAGUUAUUCAUCGGUUCCCCUUCCAAGUUGUCUUUGUUUUCCCGCCCUCCCAUCCUCUUCUUCCCGGAGUCUGACUCUCUCUCGACCAUCUAUCUCAUUCGUGCGGAACCUCUUCAGUUUUUUGUAAAUUAUCUCAACCGGUGAAUUCUCGUCUCGGUGGACAUUCUUCGUCUCUUUUCUUUCCGGUGGAUCUGAAUUCAAGUUUUUCGUUGUCGAUCGUAUUCUUUCCUUCAUCUCAAGUGUUUUUCCCUGCUCGUUUGCCUCUCGCCAGUUUAUCCUUCCGGAGUGCUCAAGACAUCUCAGGAGAUUCGUCUGUGUUUGAACUAAUUUGAGGUUUUCACCUCAUUCAAAUAUUUCAAUUGUUCCGGUGCAUCAUCUAUCUGUUCAACAUCCCUUUCAAACGGUGUUUUCUGUUAGUGGGCCCUAACCCACAGGUCUUUUUCCAGGAUCUUACCUGACUCUUCUAAUUUCCCCCGGGGUUAUUCCCAAAUUCUUUUCAAGUGUGACGUAAGAAUGAAUUUCAUCAGUUAGAUGCUUUUCCAAGAUCGAUUUCAAAUCAUUUUCAUUGUUGGCUCAACCUCUUCGCUUUCCAUUCUACCGGAGUAUCUCAGUAUUUUGAAGACCGAAGAAGAGUUUUUCCUGUAAAUCUUGUAUGUUCUCUUGAAGUUUCGUGGUUCUAGCUUCAUGUUAUCAGUCUCGAAUUAUUCCAUUUGCCAGAUAUUCUUUCUUACCCAUCCGGAGUAUGUCAGGAGUUGUUUUUCCAUUUCUUCUCACCGGAGGCCAUCAUUCUAGCUAUCAUUCUCUAUUAUCCCGGUGCUUCGUUCAAGUAUUCUUUAUCAGCUCGUUGUCUCUUUGUUCUUUUGCAUCUAAAUCCCCUCAAGCAUAUUUGUUCUUCUAAGUCUUCCCAGUGAUUCAUUCUCUUUCGUUAGUCAUUUCCGAAUUCUUACGGUGGUUCGUUCAAGAUUCUUUUUCUUUGAUUAUCAUAUUAAUCCAUUCGUUCUUUCGAAUCCAACCGGUGGUUCAUGAAGACCUUCUCAAGUUUGCGAUAUGUCACUUCUCAAUCCUUUUUCAAGAAGAAUAAGUAGUAUGAAAAAUCCAUUGUUUGUCAUCAAUUUAAUUUGAUGAAGGAUAAGCAUACAAUAAAUCUUAUUCUUAUUUCCUCAAAGCGAGUAAUCCCUUUCCUUCGGAGUUUGUUCGUGAGGAAUAAAUUCUAAUUCCAAGUGCUUUCAUCUUUUCUUUUCCGGAGUUCAAAUUACUAGUCCAUCUCAUCGGAACCUCCAUCUAAAUCAUCGCAAGGCUCAUCUUAUUCUUUCUUCCUUCAUUCUAUCUCAUCAUCCUUUUUGUUACCGGAGUUCUUCACGGUGGUUCUUCAUGAUUUAAUUCAUUCGUCAAGAGUUCAUCAAGAUUUCGUUGGUGGAGCUCAAGUAUCUUUUCUUCUCGCGUCUUGAAGAGCAAAUAAUUCUUCAUUUUCUUCUGAAGUGAAGUUUUGCAUUUCUUCGUCAUUCUCAGCUAUUUAAUCUUUUCCACUUGUGGUCGGCGAUCAGCUCAUAAUUUUGAGAUGUUUUCCAUAAGUCCACAACAAGCUUAUUCUUUUUGUUGUUGAAUUUUCUCAACAACUCCAUUCAAUCUUUUCUUCUAAGGUUGCUUUCUAUUUCAUUCGUGGCACAAGUUGACAUUUUCUUCUCCGUUCUUUUCAUUCAACUCUUUUAAUUCUUUCCAGAGGUUUUGGUGUCAUGUUUUCAUCAAGUAUCAUUCCAUCCCCUCAAGGUCAUGUUCUUUUCCUUCCAUUUUUAGCCGGAGUGCUGCCUAAAUCGUUUCAGUCUUAUUCCUUUUCUUAUCUUAUUCUAACCAGAGUGGUUUCAUAGUCUAUCUGAUUCUGUGAGCUUUCGAUUCUCGUCAUUCUCGUCGUUCCUCUCUUAUUCUUGAGUGCUCUCGAUUCUUUGCUUCUUCUCUUCAGUUCUUGCAUCACCCCUUUUUCCCUUCCGUCUCGGUCAUAAGAUCUCGGGACGAGAUCUCUUGUUAGUGGAGGAGUGUUGUAACGCCUCGGAUUCGAUGCGCCAGGUGUCUGCCAGUUAUUCGCCGUAGUUUCCAUGUCAUUUGCUUGUGUGUUUCAUAUUGUCAUGUCAUCAUGUGCAUUUCAUUUUGCAUACGUGUUUGUUUCAUGCAUCCGAGCUUUUUCCCCGUUGUCCGUUUUGCAAUCCGGCACUCCUAUGCCCUCCGGCGUUCCCCUUUUGUCUCUCAUUGUGAGAGGGUGUUAGACUUUCUCGUAAUGGACUGAGUCUUGCCAAGCGACCUUGGUAUAGCACCGGUAGACCGCCUGUCAAGUUUCGUGCCAUUUGGAGGUCGUUUGAUACUCCAACGGUUAUCCACGUAGCCCGAAACCCCCCUUUCUCCUUGCAGCCCAACACCCCUCCAAAGUGGCCCAAAACCCAGCAAACUCCCCUCCAUGCUCUCGGUCAUUGGAUCAUGACCGCAUGGCCGAAAACCGCUCCUCAUUUGGGCUCUCCUAGCUCCCAGAAUCUAUAUAUAUGUGCCUCCCGUCCAAAUUCGCGGAUGUUUUUCCCUCGAAACCGUAAAAAUUCCCCUCUCUGCGCCGGACGUGUCUGUCCGCGCCGGACAAAGCCCGCGCCGCCGCCUCCACACCAACCGGCGUCCGCCACAUGGCAGCCGCCGCCGCCCCGCCUCCGCCGGCCCGCGAGGCCCGCGCCAAGCCCACGGGGCUCGGAUCUGCUCCGCCGCCGCCCGGGGUCGCCCCGCCNNNNNNNNNNNNNNNNNNNNNNNNNNNNNNNNNNNNNNNNNNNNNNNNNNNNNNNNNNNNNNNNNNNNNNNNNNNNNNNNNNNNNNNNNNNNNNNNNNNNNNNNNNNNNNNNNNNNNNNNNNNNNNNNNNNNNNNNNNNNNNNNNNNNNNNNNNNNNNNNNNNNNNNNNNNNNNNNNNNNNNNNNNNNNNNNNNNNNNNNNNNNNNNNNNNNNNNNNNNNNNNNNNNNNNNNNNNNNNNNNNNNNNNNNNNNNNNNNNNNNNNNNNNNGCCCGGGGCAGGGCCUCCUUGCCGCACCUUGCCUCGACCCUGCGCCCGGCCCUGCCGCCCCUCGCCGCCCCGCGCCCCGCUGGCGGCUCCGACCCUCCUCGCCGACCGUCUCUAGAGCCCCUUCUCCGCCCCUAGCCCGAGCUCGAGGAUGACCCUGUGGGGCCCGCUCGUCAGCCUCCCAUGCCGGACGUGUCCGGUUUGGCCCGGACAUGUCCACCCCCUGCGAGGUCGUUUUCCACUAAGUCCCCGAAGUAUAUCUAUGACAUUAUCAUGCCAUGUUCAUCGCAUCAUAUCUCUGCAUCCGUAGCUCCAUUUUGAGCGUGUAAUAUGUCAGAUUGUUCGUCUCAAUGAGUACUUCAUUUCAUUCCAUUGCGUCAUGUUUAUUUGAGCUCAUCUUGAUGCCUGAAUCUUUGUUGCAAGAGUGCUUCAUAAUGUUGUCUGUUGUCUAUUAACAGAACUAGCUCUUUUGUCAUUUUUGCCAUGAUUGAUGUGUGCAUCCUAUGAGGUUGAUGGCUACAUGUGUUUUGAUCUAUGCUAUGUCUUCUUUACAGAGGUGCUUACCAUGUAUUUUUGUGAUCAAUGUGGUGACUAGCACAAGCAUGCAAACUAGGCCUCAUGAUGUUGCUGAUUUUAGUCCCUGUUCUGCUGUUAUUUUGAUGCCAUGUAAACUUGAUGCUACAGAGAGAUCCAUGCUUAUUUUGAGAUACUUCAGUAAGGGUGUUUCGAACAUAUGGUUUUUAUCUAUCCAUUCAUGCCCCUGUUUAAAAUUAUGGAGUAGUCUAGCAUGUCAUUUUCGUGCUCUACUUUUGCUACAAAAUGUUUCUUGGCAGAUUGUUUACAUGUUAUUCAAUUUUGCCAAGGUUGUUGUAGUUGAUCCUUGCAUGCCAUGAACUUGUUCUUGACUUGGUUUGUUUCAUAAACAUGUCUUCUUGAUGAUGCUAUGCUUAUCUUGUCAUGCAAUGACUUGUGGUGAGUGAAUCGAGCUUGUUAAGUAGUGUAUUUGCUGUUGCUGUUUUGCUAGGCUGAAUCUGUUAUUUCGUGAUGCUAUGUAAACCUGCUGCUACAAGUCAUUCUAUGCAUAAUCUGGAGGUGUUCACUAAGGGUGUUUUGUUACAAAUGUUAUGCUCUAUCCAUACAUGUCCCUGUUUGCAAUUAUAGCUUGCUGUAGUUUGUUGUAAUCUUGCUCUAAAGUUGCUAUAUAAUGUUGCUGUCAGCCUCUUAACUUUAAGUUCAGUCGUUGCCAUGCUUGUUGUUAGUGAUACAUGUACCCUAUGACCUUGCUAUUGACAUGCUUAGCUUCAUAAAUAUGUCUUAUUACUGUUGGUAGCCUUGCCAUGCCAUGUAUUGCUCUGUGGUGAGUGGUACAAGCUCACAAACAUGCCUUCAUAAUUCUGUUUCUGUCAUGUUUGAAUCUGUAAUAUAACUUGCUAUGUGUACAUGGGUGCCAUCAUAUUUUCUGUUCCUUUUUGGCUCAUGGUCAGUAAGGGACUUUUGUUCUAUGCAUUUAGUAGUACCAUGCCAUGCUUUUGUUUGCCAUGAUAAGUUCCUGUAACAUGUUGUUUUGAUAGCUCUAAACAUUGCAACCUGAUGUUAUUUUCUGCAAAGUCUGAACUGUUAUUAUUUGCGAUCUUGCCAUAUGUGUUUGAGCAUGUUCUAGUGAUUUCUGGAGAUAGCUCAGUGUUCAUGUUUUGUCAUGCUUUACCUGUACAUCAUGACCAUGUCUUUUUUUUCAUGUUGGGAUACUGUAGCAUAUUGUUUUGAUGCUUGCAAUAUGCCUAGUUGCUGUUUUGAACAGAUUGUUGCUAUAACUUUUAUAGUGUGUGUGUUGAACCGUUGCUCCGUUUUGAGUGUGCUGUAUAUGAAACUUGCUUGUUUUUGCAUGCAGUUCCAUAUUAUCAUGUUGCAUCCAUGUUUUUGAAGUGUUUGCUUUAUGUUUAUAUGCAUUUUAGAUCAAUGCCAUGUUUAACUUGUUUUGCUCAUAUCUUCUAGGCCGUAGCCCAGAACUAAAUGAACUUUAGAUGUAACUUGACUAGAAUUUCGUGUAGAUCAUCUUUGUGCAUCUUAACUUGCUGUUUAACAACUUGAACAUAAUGUUUAUUCAGAUCUGGACCAAUUUCGAAAUAUGCAUAUGAGGACUUACCGGAAUUGUUAUAUGUUGUUCCCGGCCUCAUUUAAACUUGCCUUAGUGUGUUGCUCUUGUUUUUAUCAUCUCUUGCCAUGAGUAGCUUCAUGUAGCUUUGCCAUGCAUAAUGCUUGUUUGUGCAUCAUGUCUUGUUCAUGUGUGGUGUGUUUACCAUGUUGUGUGCUUCUUCUCGAUAGUUCCCCUUUUUGUUGCGAUCGUGAGGAUUCGUUCAUCUACGCUUGGUUCGGCUUCAUCCGUUCGUCUUCUUCAUGGACUCGUUCUUCUUCCUAGCGGGAUUUCAGGCAAGAUGACCGCUACCCUGGAUCUCACUACUAUCAUUGCUAUGCUAGUUGAUUCGUUCUAUCGCUAUGCUGCGUUACCUAUCUUUUGCUCAUCAAGCCUCCCAAAUUGCCAUGAACCUCUAACCUUUGACACUAUUCCUAGCAAACCAUUGCUUGACUAUGUUACCGCUUUGCUCAACCCCUCUUAUAGCGUUGUUAGUUGCAGGUGAAGUUGAAGAUUGCUCCAUGAUGGACAAGAUUAUGUUGGGAUAUCACAAUAUCUCUUAUAUUAUUAAUGCAUCUAUAUACUUGGUAAAGGGUGGAAGGCUCGGCCUUAUGCCUGGUGUUUUGUUCCACUCUUGCCGCCCUAGUUUCCGUCAUACCGGUGUUAUGUUCCCGGAUUUUGCGUUCCUUACGCGGUCGGGUGAUUUAUGGGACCCCCUCGAUAGUUCGCUUUGAAUAAAACUCCUCCAGCAAGGCCCAACAUUGGUUUUACCAUUUGCCUCACCACCACCUACUUUUCCCUUGGGAGUAAUUAACCCAAGGGUCAUCUUUAUUACAGCCCCCCCGGGCCAAUGCUUGUCUAAGUGUUGGUCCAAACUAGAGCAUCGUGCAGGACCAUCCCUUGGCAACUUGGGUUACGUCGGUUCCUGUACGCUUAGCUUAUCCGGUGUUGCCCUAAGAACGAGAUAUGUGCAGCUCCUAUCGGGAUUGUCGGCGCAUCGGGCGGUCUUUGCUGGUCUUGUUUUACCAUUAUCGAAAUGUCUUGUAAACCGGGAUUCCAAGUCUGAUCGGGUCUUCCUGGGAGAAGGUAUAUCCUUCGUUGAUCGCGAGAGCUUAUCAUGGGCUAAGUUGGGACACCCCUGCACGACCGUUCCAUUUGCUCUCUUCUCGCUCUUAUUUGCGUAUGUUAGCCACCAUAUCAUGCUUAGUCGCUGCUGCAGCCUCACCACUUUACCCCUUCCUUUCCCUUUAAGCUUUGCUAGUCUUGAUACCCAUGGUAAUGGGAUUGCUGAGUCCUCGUGGCUCACAGAUUACUACAAUAACAGUUGCAGGUACAGGUUAUGCGAUGAUCAUGACGCGAGAGCGAUGCUUGUUGUUUGGAGUUCUACUUCUAUCAGGGGAUAGGUUCCAGGUCGGCAGCCUGGGCUAGCAGGGUGGAUGUCGUUUGAGUUUCUGUUUGUGUUUCAUCCGUAGUCGGAUGUUGAUCUUAUGUAUGAUGUAUUGAUGUAUUCUUGUGGCAUUGUAUGCCCCUUUAUGUAUCCCCAUCUAUUAUGUAAUGUUGAUGUAAUAAUAUCCACCAUGCAAAAGCGUCUUCAAGAUGCGCUUCUAUCCUUGGUGGGACCUUUGAGUUCCUUUAGGAUAGGGUCGAAUCUUGGGCGUGACACUGGAGGAGUUUUAUUCAAUGCGAACUGUCAAGGGGGUCCCAUAAAUCACCCAUCCGCGUAAGGAACGCAAAAUCCGGGAACAUAACACCGGUAUGACGGAAACUAGGGCGGCAAGAGUGGAACAAAACGCUAGGCAUAAGGCCGAGUCUUUCACCCUUUACCAAGUAUAUAGAUGCAUUAAUUAAAAUAAGAGAUAUUGUGAUAUCCCAACAUAAUCCUAUCCACCAUGGAGCAAUCUUCAACUUCCCUGCAACUAACAACGCUAUAAGAGGGCUGAGCAAAGCAGUAACAUAGCCAAGCAAUGGUUUGCUAGGAAGGGUGUCAAAGGUUAGAGGUUCAUGUCAAUUUGGGGAGGCUUGAACAUGUGAUAGGUAGCGCAGCAUAGCGAUAGAACGAAACAACUAGCAUAGCAAUGAUAUAGUGAGAUCCAGGGUAGCGGUCAUCUUGCCUGAAAUCCUGCAAGGAAGAAGAACGAGUCCAUGAAGAAGAUGAAGCCACGAAGAUGAACCAAGCAUAGACGAACGAAUCCUCACGAUCGCAACGAAAUGGGAACUAUCGAGAAGAAGCACACAACAUAGUAAACACACCACACAUGAACAAGGCAUGAUGCACAAACAAGUAUGAUGCAAGACAAGACUACAUGAAGCUACUCAUGGCAAGAGAUGAUGCAUACAAGAGCAACACAUCAAAACAAGUUUAAAUGAGGCCGGAAGCAACAUAUAACAAUUUCGGUAAGUCCUCAUAUGCAAAUUUCGAAAUUGGUCCAGAUCUUAAUAAACCUUAUGUUCAAGUUGUUAAACAGCAAGUUAAGAUGAACCAAGAUGAUCUACAUGAGAUUCUAGUCAAGUUACAUAUAAAGUUCAUUUAGUUCGGAGCUACGGCCUAGAAGAUAUGAGCAAAACAAGUUAAACAUGGCAUUGGUGCAACAUGCACCCAAACAUCAAGCAAACACUUCAAAACAUGGAUGCAACAUGAUAAUAUGAAACUAUAUGCAAAAUAAAGCAAGUUUCAUAUAGAGCACACUCAAAACGGAGCAACGGUUCAACACAUACACUCUAUACAAGUUAUAGCAACAAUCUGUCCAAAACAGCAACUAGGCAUAUUGCAAGCGUCAAAACAACAUGCUACAGGAUCUCAACAAGAAAACAAAAGGCAUGGGCAUGAUGUACAGGUAAAGCAUAACAAAACGUGAACACUGAGCUAUCUCCAGAAAUCACUAGAACAUGCUCCAAAACACAUGGCAAGAUAGCAAAUAAUAUCAGUUUCAGACUUUGCAGAAAAUAACAUCAGGUUGCAAUGUUUAGAGCUAUCAAACAAUAUGCUACAGGAACUUAUAAUGGCAAACAAAGGCAUGACAUGAAUCUACUAAAUGCAUAGAACAAAAGUCCCUUACUGACCAUGAGCCAAAAAGGACCAGAAGAUAUGAUGACACCCAUGUAAACAUAGCAAGUUAUAAUACACAUUCAUACAUGGCAGAAAAACCAUAAGUAGGCAUGUUGAUGAGCUUGUACCACUCACCACAGAGAAAUAAAUAGCAUGACAAGGCAACCAACAGUAAGAAUACAUGUUUAUGAAGCUAAGCAUGACAAGAGCAAGUUCAUAGGGUGCAUGGAACACUAACAACAAUCAUGGCAACAACUGAACUUAAUGUUAACAAGCUGACAACAACAUUAUUUAGCAACUUUGGAGCAAGAUUACAACAAGCUACAGCGGGCUAUAAAUGCAACCAGGGGCAUGGAUGGAUGGAGCAUGACAUGUAUAACAAAACACCCUUAGUGAACAUCUCCAGAUUAUGCACAGAAUGACUUGUAGCAGCAGGUUUACAUGGCAUCAUGAAAUAACAGAUUCAGCCUAGCAAAACAGCAACAGCAAGUACCCUACUUAACAAGCUUGAUUCACUCACUACAAGUCAUUGCAUGACAAGAUAAGUAUAGCAUCAGCAAGAAGACAUGUUUAUGAAACAAACCAAGGCAAGAACAAGUUCAUAGCAUGCAAGGAUCAACUACAACAACCUUGGCAAAAUUGAAUAACAUGUAAACAAUCUGCCUGGAAACAUUUUGUAGGAAAAGUAGAGCACGAAAAUGACAUGCUAGACUACUCCAUAAUUGCAAACAGGGGCAUGAAUGGAUAGAGGAAAACCAUAUGUUCAAAACAUCCUUAAUGAAGUAUCUCAAAAUAAGCAUGGAUCUCUCUGUAGCAUCAUGUUUAUAUGGCAUCAAAAUAAUAGCAGAACAGGGACUAAAAUCAGCAACAUCACGAAGCCUAGUUUACAUGCUUGUGCUAGCCACCACAUUGAUCAUAAAAAUACAUGGUAAGCACCUCUGUAAAGAAGACAUGGCAUAGUUCAAAACACAUGUAGACAACAACCUCAUAGGAUGCACACAUCAAUCAUGGCAAAAAUGACAAAUGAGCAAGUUCUGUUAAGAAACAGGAACUAACAUUAUGAAGCACACUUGCAACGAUGAUUCAAGCAUCAAGGUGAGCUCAAAUGAAUAUGAUGCAAUGGAACAAAAUGAAGUACUCGUUGAGGCGAACAAUUUGAUAUGUUACACGCAUGAAACGGAGGUACGGAUGUAGAGAUACGAUGCGAUGAACAUGGCAUGAUAAUGUCAAAAUAUUUCGAGACUUAGCAGAAUUUAUACCCUCGCGGAGAAACGUGACGGAGGCGAUCCGGGAUGGAGAGAUCCGGGAUGGGGAGGCCGUUUGGAUCGGCGGGCUGGUGGAUCUGGUCCAGCCCGGCCAGAUCCGGGACGAGGCGACGGCGGGCUCUCCGGCGAGGGCUGCGCGGCGGCGGUACAUCGGGCGGCGGGGGCGACGGGCGGCNNNNNNNNNNNNNNNNNNNNNNNNNNNNNNNNNNNNNNNNNNNNNNNNNNNNNNNNNNNNNNNNNNNNNNNNNNNNNNNNNNNNNNNNNNNNNNNNNNNNNNNNNNNNNNNNNNNNNNNNNNNNNNNNNNNNNNNNNNNNNNNNNNNNNNNNNNNNNNNNNNNNNNNNNNNNNNNNNNNNNNNNNNNNNNNNNNNNNNNNNNNNNNNNNNNNNNNNNNNNNNNNNNNNNNNNNNNNNNNNNNNNNNNNNNNNNNNNNNNNNNNNNNNNNNNNNNNNNNNNNNNNNNNNNNNNNNNNNNNNNNNNNNNNNNNNNNNNNNNNNNNNNNNNNNNNNNNNNNNNNNNNNNNNNNNNNNNNNNNNNNNNNNNNNNNNGGCGCUCGGGCGCGGGCCGGGGAGGCAGACGACGGCGGGAGCGCGGGCUCGCGCGGGCCCUCCCUGGGCUCCACGGGCCGUCGCUGCGGAGGACGGCGGCGCGCCACAUGGCAUCUCCGGAUUGGCGUGGGGACGAGGGCGGACGUGUUCUGUGGUGCCGGGGAGGAUUAGGCUAGGGUUUGGACUGCGCGAAAAUUCGGGGAGGGGCACAUAUAUAUAGAUUCUGGGAGUUAGGAGAGUCCAAAUGAGGAGCGGUUUUCGGCCACGCGAUCGUGAUCGAACGGCCGAGAGCAUGGAGAGGAGUUUUCUGGGUUUUGGGCCACUUUGAAGGGGUGUUGGGCUGCAACACACACGAGGCCUUUUCGGUCCCUCGGUUAACCAUUGGAGUAUCAAACAAACUCCAAAUGGCACGAAACUUGACAGGCGGUCUACCGGUGCUAUACCAAGGCCGCUUGGCAAACCUCAGGCCAUUCCGAGAAAGUUUAACACCCGCACACAAAAACAAGGUCUGAGAGGGGCGACGUUCUCGCGCGAGAGGUCCGGACUCCGAACGGACAACGGAGAGAACCGGGAGAACCCGAACGAAUGCAAGUUUUGGAAAACAUGCAGAUGAUAUGCAGAUGAUGACAUGGAAAAAUGCAACACCCAAGCAAAUGACAUGGCAACGAUAGCGAAUAACUGGAAGACACCUGGCGCAACGAAUCCAGGGCGUUACAACACUCCUCCACUAACAAGAGAUCUCGUCCCGAGAUCUUAGGACCGAGACGGAAUGGAAAAGAGAUGAGGUGAAAACAGCACUCAAGAGAAGAAGCAAAGAAUCGAGAGCACUCGAGAAGAAGAGAGGAACAAUGAGAAUGACGAGAAUUGAAAGCUCACGGAAUCAUGUAGACUAUGAAAGCACUCCGGUUAGAAUGAGGUAAGAAACGACUAAGACUGAAAGGAUUUAGGCAGCACUCCGACUGAAAAAUGGAAGGAUAGAACAAGAACUUCACAAGAUGGGAUGACACUUGAUGAAGACAUGUCACAAAAUCUCCGGAAAGAAUUGAAAGAGAAUUGAAUGAAAAGAAUUUAGAAGGAUUGAAUGGAGUUGUUGAGAAAAUCAACAACGAAAGAAUAAGCUUGUUGUGGACUUAUCAAAAACAACUCAAAACUUGAGGUGAAAUUAUACCACAACCAAUUUCUGAAUAGCUGAGAAGAACGAAGAAAUGCAAAACUCCACUUCAAAAGAAUACGGAGACUUAAUUGCACUUCGAAAGCAAGAAGGAAAGAUACUUGAGCUCCUCGAACAAGAAUCUUGAUGAACUCUUGAAGAAAGAAUUAAAUCAUGAAGAACCACCAUGAAGAACUCUGGUAACAAAAGGAUGAUGAGAUAGAAUGAAGGAUGAAAGAAUAAGAUUAAGCCUUCUGAUGAUUUAGAUGGAGAUUCCAACGGAAUGGUCGAGGAAAUUUUGAACUCCGGGAAAGAAAAGAUGAAAACACUUGGAACUAGAAUUUAUUCAUCAAGAACAAACUCCGAAGGAAGGGAUUAAUCACUCUGAUGAAAUAAGAAUAAGAUUUAUUGUAUGCUUAUCCUUCAUCAAAUUAAAUUGAUGACAAGCAAUGAAUUUUGCAUACUACUUAUUCUUCUUGAAAAAGAAUUGAGAAGUGACAUAUCGCAAACUUGAGAAGGUCUUCCUGAGCCACCGGUAGGAUUCGAAAGAACGAAUGGAUUAAUAUGAUAAUCAAAGAAAAAGAAUCUUGAACGAACCACCGUAAGAAUUCGAAAAUGACUGAUGAAAGAGAAUGCAUCGCCGGGAAGAAUUAGAAGAACAAAUAUACGCAAGGGGAUUUAGAUGCACAAGAGCGAAGAGAUAACGAGCUAAUUCAAGAACACUUGAACGAAGCACCGGGAUAAUUGGAUAACGGUAGCUGAAAUGAUGGCCUCCGGUGAAACGAAAAAGAAAUCAACUCCUGAAAUACUCCGGAUGGGUGAGAAAAGGAAUAUCUGACAAAUGGAAUAAAUCGAGAGGAUAACAUGAAGCUAGACCCAUGAAUCUUCGGAAGAACGGGAAAGAUUUAGAGGAAAAACUCUUCUUCGGUCUUCAAAUGUCGACGAGAAACACCACCAAAAUUACUGAGAUACCCGGUACAAUGAAAAGUGAAGAGGUUGAGUCAACAAUGAAAGCAUUUGAAAACAAUCUUGGAGAAGGCAUGUGACUGAUGAAAUCCAUUCUUACGCCACACUUUGAAAAGAAUAGAAUAACUCCGGGGGAAUUAGAAGAGUCUGGUAAGAUCCUGGAAAAAGACCCGUGGGUUAGGGCCCACUGUAGAGAAAAACACCGUUGAAAAGGAUUGUUGAAGAGAUAGAUGAUGCACCGGAAUAAUUAAAAUAUUUGAAUGAGGUGACAACCUUGAAUUAAUUGGAACACAGACGAAUCUCCUGAGAUGUCUUGAAUACUCCGGAAGGAUAAACUGGCGAGAGGCGAACGAGCAGGGAAAACACUUAAGCCGAGGGAAAGAAUGUAAUCAAUCCGAAAACUUGAAUUGCGUCCACCGGAGAAGAAAAGAGAUGGAGAAUGACGAACGAGAGGAGAAUUCACCGGUUGAAAUAAUUUACGAAAGACUGAAGAGGUUCCGAACGAAUGAGAUAGAUGGUCGAGAGAGAAUCAGACUCCGGGAAGAAAAGGGUGGGAGGGCGGGAAAAAUGAAGGCAACUUGGAAGGGGAAAUCGACGAAUAUCUUGAAGAGAAAAACACCGGUUGAAAUCAUUGAGGAGAGAGAGCAAAAACUUCGCACGAGUAGGAUGGAUACUCGAUUACGGACUCUGGUUUCAAGAAGAAGAAGGGUGGGCGGGUGGGAAAAGAAAACAACUGAGGAUGGGGAAACAACUUUGUUGAGAGCGAACUGAGGAUUGAACUUGGCAAAGACGAAGAGGCUCGAGUCAACUUGACGAGAAAUGCACCGGAUGAAAGAGCUGAGAACCUACGAUCGGAAAAACCAACUGCGUGAUCCUAAAGAAAAUUUGAAAGGGAAGAGGAGUAAAUCAAAAACACCUACGUCAAGAUUCCUGACCAGAGCGACGAAGGGGCUGAGGAGUAAAAAGAAUUCCAACUCUCCGAUAUAACUAGACUCCGAAAACAGUUUUUUUCUAGACUCAACAAUGGCCAAACUACACGAUCAAUCAAGGGGGCUCCUAGGGUCGGUCGAGGCUCUGAUACCAACUUGUCACGCCCAAUAUGCGACCCUAUCCAAAAGGAACUCGAAGGUCCCACCAAGGAUAGACCCGCAUAUUGAAACGCUUUUGCAAGGUGGAUAUCAUUACAUCAACAUUACAUAAUAGAUGGGGAUACAUACAUAAGGCAUACAAUGCCACACGAAUACAACAUCAUCUUACAGAAGAGCACCAUCCGACUAUGGAUGAAACACAAACAGAAACUCAACGACAUCCACCCUGCUAGCCCAGGCUGCCAACCUGGAACCUAUCCCUGAUCGAAGAAGAAGCAGAAGAAGUACUCCAAAACAAGCAAACAUCACUCUCGCGUCAUGAUCAUCGCAAAACCUGUACUUGCAACUGUUGUUGUAGUAAUCUGUGAGCCACGAGGACUCAGCAAUCCCAUUGCCAUGGGUAUCAAGACUAGCAAAGCUUAAUGGAAAAGAAAGGGGGGUACAGUGGUGAGGCUGCAGCAGCGACUAAGCAUGAUAUGGUGGCUAACAUACGCAAAUAAGAGCGAGAAGAGAGCAAAUGGAACGGUCGUGAAGCUAGCAAUGAUCAAGAAGUGAUCCUGAACUCCUACUUACGUCAAACAUAACCCAGAAACCGUGUCCACUUCCUGGACUCCGCCGAAAAGAGACCAUCACGGCUACACACGCGGUUGAUGCGUUUUAAUCGGAUCUGGUGUCAAGUUAUCUACAACCGGACAUUAACAAAUUCCCAUCUGCCUAUAACCGCAGGCACGGCUUUCAAAAGAUUAUACCCUGCAGGGGUGUCCCAACUUAGCCCAUGAUAAGCUGUCGCGAUCAACGAAGGAUAUACCUUCUCCCAGGAAGACCCGGUCAGACUUGGAAUCCCGGUUUACAAGACAUUUCGACAAUGGUAAAACAAGACCAGCAAAGCCUCCCGCUGUGCCGACAAAUCCCGAUAGGAGCUGCACAUAUCUCGUUCUCAGGGCACACCGGAUGAGCCAGACGUCGGGUUGGCAUAGACCCUGGUUGCCCAGGGGGCGCCGGACAUCGCUCGGUUUGGACCAACACUUAGACAAGCACUGGCCCGGGGGGGCUAUAAUAAAGAUGACCCUCGGGUUAAUUACUCCCAAGGGAAAUGUAGGUGGUGGUGAGGCAAAUGGUAAAACCAAUGUUAGGCCUUGCUGGAGGAGUUUUAUUUAAAGCGAACUGUCAAGGGGGUCCCAUAAAUCACCCAACCGCGUAAGGAACGCAAAAUCCGGGAACAUAACACCGGUAUGACGGAAACUAGGGCGGCAAGAGUGGAACAAAACACCAGGCAUAAGGCCGAGUCUUUCACCCUUUACCAAGUAUAUAGAUGCAUUAAUUAAAAUAAGAGAUAUUGUGAUAUCCCAACAUAAUCCUGUCCACCAUGGAGCAAUCUUCAACUUCACCUGCAACUAACAACGCUAUAAGAGGGCUGAGCAAAGCGGUAACAUAGCCAAGCAAUGGUUUGCUACGAAGGGUGUCAAAGGUUAGAGGUUCAUGGCAAUUUGGGGAGGCUUGAAGAACAGGUGAUAGGUAGCGCAGCAUAGCGAUAGAACGAAACAACUAGCAUAGCAAUGAUAGUAGUGAGAUCCAGGGUAGCGGUCAUCUUGCCUGAAAUCCCGCAAGGAAGAAGAACGAGUCCAUGAAGAAGAUGAAGCCACAAAGACGAACCAAGCGUAGACGAACGAAUCCUCACGAUCACAACGAAACGGGAACUAUCGAGAAGAAGCAAGCAACAUAGUAACACACCACACAUGAACAAGGCAUGAUGCACAAACAAGUAUGAUGCAAGACAAGACUACAUGAAGCUACUCAUGGCAAGAUAUGAUGCAUACAAGAGCAACACAUCAAAGCAAGUUUAAAUGAGGCCGGAAGCAACAUAUAACAAUUCCGGUAAGUCCUCAUAUGCAAAUUUCGAAAUUGGUCCAGAUCUGAAUAAACCUUAUGUUCAAGUUGUUAAACAGCAAGUUAAGAUGAACCAAGAUGAUCUACAUGAGAUUCUAGUCAAUUUACAUAUAAAGUUCAUUUAGUUCGGAGCUACGGCCUAGAAGAUAUGAGCAAAACAAGUUAAACAUGGCAUUGGUGCAAAAUGCACCCAAACAUCAAGCAAACACCUCAAAUCAUGGAUGCAACAUGAUAAUAUGAAACUAUAUGCAAAAUCAAGCAAGUUUCAUAUAGAGCACACUCAAAACGGAGCAACGGUUCAACACAUACACUCUACAAGUUAUAGCAACAAUCUGUCCAAAACAGCAACUAGGCAUAUUGCAAGCGUCAAAACAACAUGCUACAGGACCUCAACAAGAAAACAAGAGGCAUGGGCAUUAUGUACAGAUAAAGCAUAACAAAACGUGAACACUGAGCUAUCUCCAGAAAUCACUAGAACAUGCUCCAAAACACAUGGCAAGAUAGCAAAUAAUAUCAGUUUCAGACUUUGCAGAAAAUAACAUCAGGUUGCAAUGUUUAGAGCUAUCAAACAACAUGCCACAGGAACUUAUAAUGGCAAACAAAGGCAUCGAAUGAAUCUACUAAAUGCAUAGAACAAAAGUCCCUUACCGACCAUGAGCCAAAAAGGACCAGAAGAUAUGAUGGCACCCAUGUAAACAUAGCAAGUUAUAAUACAGAUUCAUACAUGGCAGGAACAACAAUAAGUAGGCAUGUUGAUGAGCUUGUACCACUCACCACAGAGCAAUAAAUGGCAUGGCAAGGCAACCAACAGUAAGAAUACAUGUUUAUGAAGCUAAGCAUGGCAAGAGCAAGUUCAUAGGGUGCAUGGAACACUAACAACAAUCAUGGCAACAACUGAACUUAAUGUUAAGAGGCUGACAACAACAUUAUUUAGCAACUUUGGAGCAAGAUUACAACAAGCUACAACGGGCUAUAAAUGCAACCAGGGGCAUGAAUGGAUAGAGCUUGACAUGUAUAACAAAACACCCUUAGUAACAUCUCCAGAUUAUGCACAGAAUGACUUGUAGCAGCAGGUUUACAUGGCAUCACGAAAUAACAGAUUCAGCCUAGCAAAACAACAACAUCAAGUACCCUACUUAACAAGCUUGAUUCACUCACCACAAGUCAUUGCAUGACAAGAUAAGCAUAGCAUCAGCAAGAAGACAUGUUUAUGAAACAAACCAAGGCAAAAACAAGUUCAUAGCAUGCAAGGAUCAACUACAACAACCUUGGCAAAAUUGAGUAACAUGUAAACAAUCUGCCAGGAAACAUUUUGUAGCAAAAGUAGAGCACUAAAAUGACAUGCUAGACUACUCCAUAAUUGCAAACAGGGGCAUGAAUGGAUAGAGGAAAACAAUGUGUUCAAAACAUCCUUAAUGAAGUAUCUCAAAAUAAGCAUGGAUCUCUCUGUAGCAUCAUGAUUACAUGGCAUCAAAAUAAUAGCAGAACAGGGACUAAAAUCAGCAACAUCACGAAGCCUAGUUUACAUGCUUGUGCUAGUCACCACAUUGAUCACAAAAAUACAUGGUAAGCACCUCUGUAAAGAAGACAUGGCAUAAUUCAAAACACAUGUAGACAUCAACCUCAUAGGAUGCACACAUCAAUCAUGGCAAAAAUGACAAAUGAGCAAGUUCUGUUAAGAAACAGGAACUAACAUUAUGAAGCACUCUUGCAGCGAUUAUUCAGGCAUCAAGAUGAGCUCAAAUGAAUAUGAUGCAAUGGAACUAAAUGAAGUACUAGUUGAGACGAACAAUUUGAUAUAUUACACGCAUGAAACAGAGCUACGAAUGCAGAGAUACGAUGCGAUGAACAUGACAUGGUAAUGUCAAAAUAUUUCGGGACUUAGCAGAAUUUAUACCCUCACGGAGAAACGGGACGGAGGCGUUCCGGGACGGAGGGAUCUGUAUGGGGAGGCCGUUUGGAUCGGCGGGCUGGUGGAUCUAGUCCAGCCCGGCCAGAUCCGGGACGAGGCGACGNNNNNNNNNNNNNNNNNNNNNNNNNNNNNNNNNNNNNNNNNNNNNNNNNNNNNNNNNNNNNNNNNNNNNNNNNNNNNNNNNNNNNNNNNNNNNNNNNNNNNNNNNNNNNNNNNNNNNNNNNNNNNNNNNNNNNNNNNNNNNNNNNNNNNNNNNNNNNNNNNNNNNNNNNNNNNNNNNNNNNNNNNNNNNNNNNNNNNNNNNNNNNNNNNNNNNNNNNNNNNNNNNNNNNNNNNNNNNNNNNNNNNNNNNNNNNNNNNNNNNNNNNNNNNNNNNNNNNNNNNNNNNNNNNNNNNNNNNNNNNNNNNNNNNNNNNNNNNNNNNNNNNNNNNNNNNNNNNNNNNNNNNNNNNNNNNNNNNNNNNNNNNNNNNNNNNNNNNNNNNNNNNNNNNNNNNNNNNNNNNNNNNNNNNNNNNNNNNNNNNNNNNNNNNNNNNNNNNNNNNNNNNNNNNNNNNNNNNNNNNNNNNNNNNNNNNNNNNNNNNNNNNNNNNNNNNNNNNNNNNNNNNNNNNNNNNNNNNNNNGCGCGGGACCUCCCUGGGCUCCGCGGGCCGUGGCGGCGGAGGACGGCGGCGCGCCACGUGGCAUCUCCGGAUUGGCGCGGGGGCGAGGGCGGACGUGUCCGGUGGCGGCGGGGAGGAUUAGGCUAGGGUUUGGACUGCGCAAAAAUUCGGGGAGGGGCACAUAUAUAUAGAUUCUGGGAGCUGGGAGAAUCCAAAUGAGGAGCGGUUUUCGGCCACACGAUCGUGAUCGAACGACCGAGAGCAUGGAGGGGAGUUUGCUGGGUUUUGGGCCACUUUGAAAGGGUGUUGGGCUGCAACACACACAAGGCCUUUUCGGUCCCUCGGUUAACCGUUGGAGUAUCAAACGAACUCCAAAUGGCACGAAACUUGACAGGCGGUCUACCGGUGCUAUACCAAGGCCGAUUGGCAAACCUCGGGCCAUUCUGAGAAAGUUUAACACCCGCACACGAAAACAAGGUCUGAGAGGGGCGACGGUCUCGAGCGAGAGGUUCGGACUCCGAACGGACAACAGAGAGAACCGGGAGAACCCGAACGAAUGCAAGUUUUGGAAAACAUGCAGAUGAUAUGCAGAUGAUGACAUGGAAAAAUGCAACACCGAAGCAAAUGACAUGGCAACGACAGCGAAUAACUGGAAGACACCUGGCGCAACGAAUCCGGGGCGUUACAGGUAGCUAGAGGUAAAUAAGCUCAAGUCAAGAAGGAAGACCAAGAAGAGAAGCCCACCAAGGUGGAUGGAUG
RNAcentral lists this long non-coding RNA (34002 nucleotides) under Triticum aestivum (bread wheat). RNAcentral describes it as "long non-coding RNA (TAES_LNC021886)". The record is from RNAcentral. Lineage: Eukaryota; Viridiplantae; Streptophyta; Magnoliopsida; Poales; Poaceae.